RNAcentral lists this ribosomal RNA (477 nucleotides) under uncultured bacterium. RNAcentral's name for it is "partial 16S ribosomal RNA". It matches the Rfam family "Bacterial small subunit ribosomal RNA", at positions 28 to 507 of the family's 1533-position model. The record is from RNAcentral.
GAUUAACGCUGGCGGCGUGCAUAACACAUGCAAGUCGAACGAUGAAACUUUAAUGACCCCUUCGGGGAGAAUUAAAGCGGAUUAGUGGCGAACGGGUAAGUAACGCGUGAGUAACCUGCCUUACACAAGGGGAUAGCCUUUGGAAACGAAGAAUAAUACCCUAUAAAACCAUAAAAGCACAUGCAAUUAUGGUCAAAGUGAUAGCGGUGUAAGAUGGACUUGCGUCUGAUUAGCUAGUUGGUGAGAUAAAAGCCCACCAAGGCAACGAUCAGUAGCCGGCUUGAGAGAGUGUACGGCCACAUUGGGACUGAGACACGGCCCAGACUCCUACGGGAGGCAGCAGUGGGGAAUUUUGCACAAUGGGGGAAACCCUGAUGCAGCGACGCCGCGUGAUUGAGAAGGCCUUCGGGUUGUAAAAAUCUUUUGUAUAGGAAGAAAAUGACAGUACUAUACGAAUAAGGUCCGGCUAAUUACGUG